This 253-nucleotide ribosomal RNA is filed under the name uncultured bacterium. RNAcentral's name for it is "partial 16S ribosomal RNA". It matches the Rfam family "Bacterial small subunit ribosomal RNA", at positions 524 to 776 of the family's 1533-position model. The record is from RNAcentral.
UACAGAGGGUGCGAGCGUUGUCCGGAAUUACUGGGCGUAAAGGGCUCGUAGGCGGCCAACUAAGUCAGACGUGAAAUCCCCAGGCUCAACCUGGGAACUGCGUCUGAUACUGGAUGGCUUGAAUCCGGGAGAGGGAUGCAGAAUUCCAGGUGUAGCGGUGAAAUGCGUAGAUAUCUGGAGGAAUACCGGUGGCGAAGGCGGCAUCCUGGACCGGCAUUGACGCUGAGGAGCGAAAGCCAGGGGAGCAAACGGG